This 955-nucleotide ribosomal RNA is filed under the name uncultured bacterium. RNAcentral describes it as "bacterial SSU rRNA". It matches the Rfam family "Bacterial small subunit ribosomal RNA", at positions 8 to 958 of the family's 1533-position model. The record is from RNAcentral.
AGAGUUUGAUCAUGGCUCAGGAUGAACGCUAGCGGCAGGCUUAAUACAUGCAAGUCGUGGGGCAGCGCAGUGUAGCAAUACAUGGGCGGCGACCGGCAAACGGGUGCGGAACACGUACGCAACCUUCCUUCAAGUGGGGAAUAGCCCGGGGAAACCCGGAUUAAUACCUCGUAACAUUAUGAGGCGGCAUCACCUUAUAAUUAUAGCUCCGGCGCUUGAAGAUGGGCGUGCGCCUGAUUAGGUAGUUGGCGGGGUAAUGGCCCACCAAGCCUACGAUCAGUAACUGGUGUGAGAGCACGACCAGUCACACGGGCACUGAGACACGGGCCCGACUCCUACGGGAGGCAGCAGUAAGGAAUAUUGGUCAAUGGACGCAAGUCUGAACCAGCCAUGCCGCGUGGAGGAUGAAGGUCCUCUGGAUUGUAAACUUCUUUUAUCUGGGAAGAAACCCACGAUUUCUAUUGUGGUUGACGGUACCAGACGAAUAAGCACCGGCUAACUCCGUGCCAGCAGCCGCGGUAAUACGGAGGGUGCAAGCGUUAUCCGGAUUCACUGGGUUUAAAGGGUGCGUAGGUGGAUCGGUAAGUCCGUGGUGAAAUCCCUGAGCUUAACUCAGGAACUGCCGUGGAUACUAUCGAUCUUGAAUGCCGUGGAGGUAAGCGGAAUAUGUCAUGUAGCGGUGAAAUGCUUAGAUAUGACAUAGAACACCAAUAGCGAAGGCAGCUUGCUACACGGUAAUUGACACUCAGGCACGAAAGCGUGGGGAGCAAACAGGAUUAGAUACCCUGGUAGUCCACGCCCUAAACGAUGAUUACUCGACAUACGCGAUACACUGUGUGUGUCUGAGCGAAAGCAUUAAGUAAUCCACCUGGGAAGUACGACCGCAAGGUUGAAACUCAAAGGAAUUGGCGGGGGUCCGCACAAGCGGUGGAGCAUGGUGGUUUAAUUCGAUGAU